CCUACGGGAGGCAGCAGUAAGGAAUAUUGCUCAAUGGGGGAAACCCUGAAGCAGCAACGCCGCGUGGGGGAUGAAGGUUUUCUGAUUUUAAACUCUUUUUGUUAGAGAAGCUAAUGACGGUAUCUAACGAAUAAGCACCGGCUAACUCCGAGCCAGCAGCCGCUGUAAUACGGAGGGUGCAAGCGUUACUCGGAAUAACUGGGCGUAAAGAGCGCGUAGGCGGGUUAGCAAGUCAGAUGUGAAAUCCUAUGGGGUAACCAUAGAUCUGCCGUUGAAACUGUCAUUCUAGAGUAGGAGAGAGGGAUGUGGAAUGCGUGGUGUAGCGGUGAAAUGCAUAGAUAUCAAGAAGAACACCCAUUGCGAAGGCGGCCUGCUAGCACAUAACUGACGCGGAUGCGCGAAAGCGUGGGGAGCGAACAGGAUUAGAUACCCUAGUAGUC
RNAcentral lists this ribosomal RNA (440 nucleotides) under uncultured bacterium. RNAcentral's name for it is "partial 16S ribosomal RNA". It matches the Rfam family "Bacterial small subunit ribosomal RNA", at positions 338 to 795 of the family's 1533-position model. The record is from RNAcentral.